UUAGGGUUGGCCCUGACCUAGUUUGACCAGUGUCCUUAUGAAAACGCAGAAGUUGGACAAAGACACACCCACAGGGAAAGCACCAUGAGAAGAUGACGGCAGAGAUCUGGGCGACGCGUCUACAAGCCAAGCGACACCAAAGGUGGCCAGCAGCCCAUGUGAAGCUGGAGGAGAGGCCUCGAAUAAAUGCUCCCUUACAGCGUUCAGGGGGAACUGACCCUGUCCACACCUUGACCUUGAACUUCUGGGCUCCAGAACUGUGAGACAGCAUGUUCUGUUGUUGAAGGAGCAGCGUGGCUAGAGGAAUUCCUGCAGCUUAGAUUUCGCUGGCACUGUUACCACUCCCAGAGAGGAGCGGCUGGAGUUCACGGCUGGUUCCUGACAAACUUCCUAAUUAAUCUGCUAAAGAUCAGAGGAGGACUAAUAGGAGCUGAAGACUGUGUGCGAGACCACCCCUCCGCCCUCUCCCUUUGUGUGUGCACGUGUGUGUGUGUGUGUGUGUGAGCGCGUGCGCGCAUGUGGUGCUGAGCUUGGCGGGAGAGAGAUGGCCUCACCAGCGACAAAGCAUUCCUGCUGCUGUUGCUGCCACCUACCUUCCCUGCUUUGGGAGGAUACAUUUUCUCCUCUUGCUUAGAAGUUUCAGGGAGUCACCCAAGCCUUCUUCUCCCAGAUACAACGGUGGAAUAAAAUAUCUUCCAGCCAACAUAUUUUUUGGAGACGGAAUCUCACUCUGUCACCUGGUUGAAGUGCAGCAGCGCGAUCAUGGCUCACUGCAACCUCUGCCUCCCGGUUUCAAGUGAUUCUCCUGCCUCCGCCUCCCGAGUAGCUGGGAUUACAGGCAUGUGCCACCCACCACGCCUGGGUAAUUUUUGUAUUUUUACUAGAGACAGGGUUUCACUAUGUGGGCUGGGCUGGUCUCAAACUCCUGACCUCUGGUGAUCUGCCCACUUCGGCCUCUCAAAGUGCUGGGAUUACAGGCAUGAGCCCCCGCACCCGGUUGCAACCAACUUUUUUGUGGAAUAUAGGAUCUUGAUGUUUGGAUGCCUGAAGGCAGAAGCUGUUGCACAUGGAAUGGAUUAAAGUUUUCCCCUCUGCAACCAAAAAUCCUUGGGGUCCCAGGAGCAAAAGAUGCUCCAUGGCACAGGACAAUUCAAGAAGGCCCGAGGUGAUAUUGAAGACUGCAGAGACAUCCAGCUCAGUUGUGUCUCCGGAGGUGUCCAGACUUUGCAGACAGACGUUGCACAUAAAGAGCUGAAAAACUGAGGAAGCUGAGCUGGAGAAGGAAGUCACUUCUACUCAGACUUGACCUGCGUCUGAUGCUAUGGGGCCUCUUAGGGUUACCUCAUGCUUCAUGCACCCCUUUCUCUGUUCUUCAGCAGAAGGCAGGGUGUAGGGAAGCGGGACUGUGCCUCCUUUCUCCCUGCCAGGCCUGACUCUCCAGGCCAAGAGACACCAUUAAGGAGUAUAAUUUGUUGAUCCAGGCUCUCCUUGCGUUUCAGUGCAGAGUGGCAUCGUUUUCUUUAUGACCUCGUAAAGUCACAGCCGAGAGGCCGAUUUGGAAAACAAACUGCCUCAGGUUGACAGAUAAUUAGAUACAGGGGACAUAUUAUAUGCCUUUGCAUAUAAAUGUGCUCCGAGGCGUGUUGGUUCAUCUGAAGUUGAGGUUAAAGGCGCGCCAGGUAUUCCUGACACAUCAGGAUAUAUAUUUUCAUACAGUCUCAGGUGCUGUGUUGGUUUUAUAGGCCUUUCAUCCUGGUGCUGACGGAUGGGGUGUGAUUGUGACCCAACUUAGAAGAAAGGGACUUCCCUUGCCCAGGGGCCUCCUGGCGUUUUUGUUUUGUGUUCUCCCUCUCCACCCCCACUUUCUCUUCUUCCUUGGGAAGGGAACUGUUCUUUGGACCUAGGAUUCUGCCGUGAGUGACUAAUGGCCUGAGUAGGAGGGACCGGGACUCAUUUUUCUUUUCUGGACUCUAAUAGGCCCAAUUAAUUCAGCUACAACAUGGGCCCUUACAAGCCUGGGACAAGCCUGGGUGGAAUUCUAUAUUGAGGGUAAGAAAAGGGAUGGAAGUAGAUGUUUUCCAGAAGGUUCUGUGGACUCUGGGGGUGACCUGUGGACAGCUGCUGCUGCCCACUACCUGGCAGUUUGGCUAUGUGAUACAUGUCAGCCUUACAAGGAGAUCCCCCUUACCCUGGAAUCUACUUUGGGGGAGCAGAACUUGAGCCUCAGGCAAAUCAGAGACGAGGGGGAAACUUUGCUUUUUCCUCCAGUGGCAGGGAGCUCUGGGCUGGGGAAAUGUCUUUUUGAACACAAAGUUCCAGUUGCAUUCAUCCACAGGAAAAUGUAAAGAGCUUAAUUUAAUGCCCUCUGGGAGUCAUUUCGAUUUAAAAGUGGUAUUAUAGCUUGUGGCUAGAAGAAUGGGCUUAACGGUUAGUCACCUUCUGUUUGGGCAUGUCAUUUAAUCUCUUUGAGGCUGUUUCUUCAUCUUAAAAUAUGAGUGAGAAGGUAGUACCCACCUUACAAUGUGGACAAGAUUAAUUUAGGGAAAACACGUAGCACAGGGCUUCACCCAUGGUAAGUAUUUCAUAAACGGUAACUAUUUUUAACAAUGACAAUUCACAGAGUUAAUCCUAAUAAAAAAUGAUUACAGAAGAGGACGCCUCCACCCACAGGAAGGAGCCAGCACGGUGGGGAGCUGUUUCACCAGGGGAGUGUUCUCAGCAGCUGCCACACGUGGAGUUGUGGAGGUAGCAAGCAGAGUUGGGGGAGGAGGGGGAGCCCUGGUUCCUGCUCUUCCAUGAUCAGUGUGCAGCCUUGAGCAUGGCACUCCCUCUCUUCCCAGCUUAGUGUCCUCAUCCGUAAAAUGAGGGGCUCUCUGAGAGUCUGCCAGGGCCGCUGUCUGAUCUGUGACAGCGUGGCAUGUGGUGUGGUAUGUAAUGCACGUUCCUGCCUGCAGGGAGGCCCUCUCCCUUCCCCCACCAGGCUUCUGGGCAGCACUUGCUGUCAUCCUUGCUUCUGGAACAGGACUGUGCUGUUUUCCAGGCCAAAUUGGAGGGCUGAGGGGGUCUAUUAAGAAGACUCUGGGGAGAUGGUGGAACAAUUCUGUGCUUGAAAUUACCUUCCUCUUUAAAUCUUGCCAUGGCCCUAUUAGAAAAGCUAAGGGGGCAGGAGGAGAGGAGCGGGCAGGGAGAGGAGAGAGAGAGAGAAGAAGGAAGAAGGAAAGGGAAAGGUAAGAAACCCCAUAGCCCGACCCUCAGCCCUGUUGAAGGAGAUUAUAUAAAUAGAGUCGCUGUCACUUUGAUGAAUUAAAUCCUCCGUUAAUUAGGACGCAUCCAUUUAAGGGUUGUCCAGCCAGAUAGUCCUUUUCCCUUCCCAGCAAGUCAUAGCUCAGGGAGGAGGCAUGAGAGGGAUCGUUUUCUGUUUCUGGCUUGAUUGCUGGUUUCUUUCUUACUAGGCUUCAUUAAUUAUCCUGGAAUGUGGUCACCCAGUUUUCUUCAACAUGGGCCAUUCUCCUUUUAGCAGGAUCUUGGCAGUGGACUGCCACGGGAGCUCUGGGGAAAAAGGACCAGUUGGACUCCAGUACCUCCUGAGAGACCACCACCCUCCAUGCCUCCAGCUCAUGCCCAGCUCUGAGUCAGACGGACUCUUCCUGUUGUACUGCGAGGUUCUGCAAACCUUGAAGGGCAAACACAGUGAGGGUCUCUGACUUGCUGUGUGGACAGCCCACUCUCUGACAGCCCAGAUCAUCUGAAGCUAUCCCUGGGCUGGGAGCUGGAAGCCAUUCUUGUGAACCACUCCUUAUACCUUGAGCGAAGCCUCUUUGGGUCCCAGAAGUCUGAAGCUCCAGCUGCCUGGCAAGACUGAGUCUAGAUGAUUUCUUGGGUACCAGUAGUUUGGCAUUUAAAAAUACUGGAUUAACUGCAGUGUAAACUUAGAUUGCAUUUCAGAUUGUAAACAAUAACCCCCGUGCUUCAUGUGAUGUUAAAUCAGAAAUGAGCUAUUAGCCAAGCUAGUCCUCUUAUGAAUGAGCCCCUAACCCUGAUCCAGGGAUCGUUGAAUGAAAAUCAUCAAAAUGAUUUAUCUUCACUUUACCUAUUGUCUCACAAGAAUCUCAUCACUCAGGGAAAAGGAGGGUGUUCUUCAGGGAACGGAGGGCAUGAGGAAGGGGGAUUUCCUUAUAUCUCAACUUUCAGAGGGAGCUGAGUUGUAAACAGAUGGAACAAGGUGUGUACGAGAAGCCUCUUAGAUUUAGUCUUUCAUAUCAAGGCUCUUGCUGAAAAUCCUGGCACAGCUGUGAAAUGAGGGGAGCUCUGACACACAGAGACACGCUCCUUGCCUCACCAACCUUCCCAUACACAGUCAUGCGCACAGAGAGCAGGUACCAAUACUGAAAAUGCCCUUCCGGAGUUUCCUCAGCUUAAACCCUUGACAGCAUUAAGUGAGGAAGGAGUUUCCUUGACCUGGGGAAGAAGAACCAACUCAUAAACAUGGAACUGUG
This 4496-nucleotide long non-coding RNA is filed under the name Homo sapiens (human). RNAcentral describes it as "HSALNT0346183". Lineage: Eukaryota; Metazoa; Chordata; Mammalia; Primates; Hominidae. The record is from RNAcentral.